Molecule: ribosomal RNA, 434 nt
Filed under: uncultured Lachnospiraceae bacterium
Lineage: Bacteria; Bacillati; Bacillota; Clostridia; Lachnospirales; Lachnospiraceae
Description: partial 16S ribosomal RNA
Rfam family: Bacterial small subunit ribosomal RNA
Source: RNAcentral
ACGGAAGGCAGCAGUGGGGAAUAUUGCACAAUGGGGGAAACCCUGAUGCAGCGACGCCGCGUGAGUGAAGAAGUAUUUCGGUAUGUAAAGCUCUAUCAGCAGGGAAGAAAAUGACGGUACCUGACUAAGAAGCCCCGGCUAACUACGUGCCAGCAGCCGCGGUAAUACGUAGGGGGCAAGCGUUAUCCGGAUUUACUGGGUGUAAAGGGAGCGCAGACGGCAGUGCAAGUCUGAAGUGAAAUGCGGGGGCUCAACCCCUGAACUGCUUUGGAAACUGCAUAGCUAGAGUGCCGGAGAGGUAAGUGGAAUUCCUAGUGUAGCGGUGAAAUGCGUAGAUAUUAGGAGGAACACCAGUGGCGAAGGCGGCUUACUGGACGGUAACUGACGUUGAGGCUCGAAAGCGUGGGGAGCAAACAGGAUUAGAUACCCUGGUA